ACGGGGGGUGCAAGCGUUGUUCGGAAUUAUUGGGCGUAAAGAGCGUGUAGGCGGCUUGGUAAGUCAGAUGUGAAAGCCCUGGGCUUAACCCAGGAAGUGCAGUGGAAACUGCCUAGCUUGAGAAAGGGAGAGGGAAGUGGAAUUCCUGGUGUAGAGGUGAAAUCCGUAGAUCCCAGGAGGACGACCGGUGGCGAAGGCAUCUCCCUGGAACUACUCCGACGCUGAGACGCGAGAGCUUGGGUAGCAAACAG
Molecule: ribosomal RNA, 251 nt
Filed under: uncultured prokaryote
Description: partial 16S rRNA
Rfam family: Bacterial small subunit ribosomal RNA
Source: RNAcentral